This 1373-nucleotide ribosomal RNA is filed under the name uncultured bacterium. Its description in RNAcentral is "bacterial SSU rRNA". It matches the Rfam family "Bacterial small subunit ribosomal RNA". The record is from RNAcentral.
AGAGUUUGAUCCUGGCUCAGAAUCAACGCUGGCGGCGUGCCUAACACAUGCAAGUCGAACGCGAAAGUGGAGCAAUCCAUGAGUAGAGUGGCAAACGGGUGAGUAACACGUGGGUGACCUGCCUUCGAGUGGGGGAUAACGUCCCGAAAGGGACGCUAAUACCGCAUGACAUCCUGUCUUUGGAAAGACGGAGAUCAAAGCUGGGGAUCGCAAGACCUGGCGCUUGAAGAGGGGCCCGCGCCUGAUUAGCUAGUUGGUGGGGUAACGGCCUACCAAGGCGACGAUCAGUAUCCGGCCUGAGAGGGCGGACGGACACACUGGGACUGAGACACGGCCCAGACUCCUACGGGAGGCAGCAGUGGGGAAUUGUUCGCAAUGGGCGCAAGCCUGACGACGCAACGCCGCGUGGGUGAUGAAGGCCUUCGGGUCGUAAAGCCCUGUCAGAUGGGACGAAGAAAGUGACGGUACCAUCGAAGGAAGCACCGGCUAACUCCGUGCCAGCAGCCGCGGUAAUACGGAGGGUGCAAGCGUUGUUCGGAAUCACUGGGCGUAAAGGGCGCGUAGGCGGUUGUAUCAGUCGGGCUUAUAAGUGCGGGGCUCAACCCCGUGAUGGGUUCGGGACGGUAUGACUGGGGCGCGGUCGAGGGAGACGGAAUGCCGGGUGUAGUGGUGAAAUGCGUAGAGAUCCGGCGGAACACCGGUGGUGAAGGCGGUCUCCUAGGCCGAGGGCCGACGCUGAGGCGCGAGAGCGUGGGGAGCGAACCGGAUUAGAUACCCGGGUAGUCCACGCCGUAAACGGUGGAUGCUAGGUGUGGGGGGUAUCGACCCCCUCCGUGCCGGCGCGAACGCAGGAAGCAUCCCGCCUGGGGAGUACGGCCGCAAGGCUAAAACUCAAAGGAAUUGACGGGGGCCCGCACAAGCAGCGGAGCGUGUGGUUUAAUUCGAUGCAACGCGAAGAACCUUACCAGGGCUUGACAUGGCGCUUACAGAGGCUGAAAGGUUUUGUCCGCAAGGAGUGCGUCACAGGUGCUGCAUGGCUGUCGUCAGCUCGUGCCGUGAGGUGUUGGGUUAAGUCCCGCAACGAGCGCAACCCCCGGGUCUAGUUAGGUUCCUAGACCGACUGCCGGGACCAACCCGGAGGAAGGUGGGGAUGACGUCAAGUCAGCACGGCCCUUACGUCCUGGGCUACACACACGCUACAAUGGCCGGUACAGCGGGCGGUGCGAAGCCGUGAGGCGGAGCGAAUCCCUGCAAAGCCGGCCCCAGUGCAGAUCGGGGGCUGCAACUCGCCCCCGUGAAGUCGGAGUUGCUAGUAACCGCGGGUCAGCACACCGCGGUGAAUACGUUCCCGGGCCUUGCACACACCGCCCGUC